GACGAACGCUGGCGGCGUGCUUAACACAUGCAAGUCGAACGGAAAGGCCCUGCUUUUGUGGGGUGCUCGAGUGGCGAACGGGUGAGUAACACGUGAGUAACCUGCCCUUGACUUUGGAAUAACUUCAGGAAACUGGGGCUAAUACCGGAUAGGAGCUCCUGCUGCAUGGUGGGGGUUGGAAAGUUUCGGCGGUUGGGGAUGGACUCGCGGCUUAUCAGCUUGUUGGUGGGGUAGUGGCUUACCAAGGCUUUGAAGGGUAGCCGGCCUGAGAGGGUGACCGGCCUCAUUGGGACUGAGAUACGGCCCAGAGUCCUACGGGGGACAGAAGUGGGGAAUAUUGCACAGUGGGCGGGAGCCUGAGGCAGCAACGCCGCGUGCGGGAUGACGGCCUUCGGGUGGUAAACCGCUUUCGCUUGUGACGAAGCGUGAGUGACGGUAAUGGGUAAAGAAGCACCGGCUAACUACGUG
RNAcentral lists this ribosomal RNA (468 nucleotides) under uncultured bacterium. Its description in RNAcentral is "partial 16S ribosomal RNA". It matches the Rfam family "Bacterial small subunit ribosomal RNA", at positions 28 to 507 of the family's 1533-position model. The record is from RNAcentral.